This 127-nucleotide small nucleolar RNA is filed under the name Neotoma lepida (desert woodrat). RNAcentral's name for it is "Small nucleolar RNA SNORA26". It matches the Rfam family "Small nucleolar RNA SNORA26". Rfam says of the family: The snoRNA HBI-6 belong to the H/ACA family of snoRNAs, guiding the pseudouridylation of position U4522 if the 28S rRNA. HBI-6 is the human orthologue of mouse MBI-6 snoRNA. Lineage: Eukaryota; Metazoa; Chordata; Mammalia; Rodentia; Cricetidae. The record is from Rfam by way of RNAcentral.
CUGUCCUUUUAAGGUCACCAUUGUGCUUUAAGAGGCUAAGAGUUAACAGCAGGGUGAAAGAACUCCGCAUCAAAUCCAGGGAGGAGACUGAACAUCUCCUCUUUGGAUCCUGUCUGGAGUCAUAGAU